Long non-coding RNA from Gossypium arboreum, 323 nucleotides. RefSeq lists it as uncharacterized. The transcript is spliced from 2 exons. The record is from RefSeq and is a predicted model, not a curated record. NCBI's taxonomy places the organism in Eukaryota, Viridiplantae, Streptophyta, Magnoliopsida, Malvales, Malvaceae.
GAAAAGAAAAGAAAAGAAAAGAAAGAAAGGAUGAAACGAAACAGAGAGCAGGGGAAAGAAAGAAGGAAAAAGGGAAAAAUUGGGAUUUCAAGGCUUGAAAGUUAAAUAGGUUAAGUUAAGGCUAGAUUGUUGAAUCAGCAUCCCAGGCCGAUCCCGAAUUCAAUGAGGUAAAGUAUGUUGAGUAUUGAUAAUGGCAUGUACCUAGGAUGUUUAAUGAGAGUCAUUUAGGUUGUAAAAGUAUUGAUGAAAUAGGUGAAUUAUGGUUGGCAACGGUAUAUAGUAUGAAUUUUGAAAUUUAUUAAAAAAAUCGUAAUGAUUCUAAA